Molecule: ribosomal RNA, 786 nt
Filed under: Triticum aestivum (bread wheat)
Lineage: Eukaryota; Viridiplantae; Streptophyta; Magnoliopsida; Poales; Poaceae
Description: partial small subunit ribosomal RNA
Source: RNAcentral
CUUCCAGCUCGUGGAAGGUCUGGAUGAAUCCUUCUUGUGAUAUAGACCACGACCACGGACUUGUUGGCUUUUUCAACCGGUAAUUUUCAUAUCAAAUUUCACCUACGAAACAGGGCUGAUAAUUUUUCAUGGAGCCUGGUCGCAGUCUAUGGGGCUACCCAAGAUGAGCAUGAAUCUGCUUUCCUCCGUGAGCUAGUGAACCUGGCUAAGGAUAACCUGUACCCAAUGCUUAUUGGAGUGGAUUUUAAUAUACUUAGGUACCAUGAAGAAAAAAAUAAUGACCGCUUCGACACUCAUUGGCCUUUCCUUCUCAAUGAUGUGAUUGACAGUUUGUUUCUUCGAGAGGCCCGUAUGUCGGUGCGGCAGUUCAGUUGGGCUAAUAACUGUUCUAUGCCGACGUAUGAGAAGCUCGAUAGGGUACUCAUGGAUACCGAAUGGGAGCUUAAAUUUCCUAUGAUAACUGUGCGAGCCCUAGAGAGAAUCGAGGCUUUAUCGGAUCAUCACUACUGGAAUCAUCUUCUUUGCCGUCUGCCACUUCUUUGCCAUCCGCUAGCUGACGGAAAGAGCUUCUUUGCCGUCAGUUUCUCCAAAGCAGACGACAAAGAAAUAGCUGAUGGCACAGGUUAUUUUGCCGUCAGCCAAUACUUUGCCGUCAGCUCGCGGACGGCAAAUAGUUCUUUGUCGUCAGCUGGCCAACGGCAAAGAAAUUUGUGGGCCCACAGACGCAAGGCUAUGGCUACGUCAGCUCUUUGCCGUCAGCCAUUUCUUUGUCAUUCGCUAGGCUAA